Molecule: ribosomal RNA, 263 nt
Filed under: uncultured bacterium
Lineage: Bacteria
Description: partial 16S ribosomal RNA
Rfam family: Bacterial small subunit ribosomal RNA
Source: RNAcentral
UUCCUACGGGACGCAGCAGUAGGGAAUCUUCCACAAUGGGCGAAAGCCUGAUGGAGCAACGCCGCGUGGGUGAAGAAGGUCUUCGGAUCGUAAAACCCUGUUGUUAGAGAAGAAAGUGCGUGAGAGUAACUGUUCACGUUUCGACGGUAUCUAACCAGAAAGCCACGGCUAACUACGUGCCAGCAGCCGCGGUAAUACGUAGGUGGCAAGCGUUAUCCGGAUUUAUGGGGCGUAAAGGGAAAGCAGGCGGUCUUUUACGCCUG